UACGGAGGGUGCAAGCGUUGUUCGGAAUUACUGGGCGUAAAGCGCACGUAGGCGGCUUCGCAAGUCAGAGGUGAAAGCCUGGGGCUCAACCCCAGAACUGCCUUUGAGACUGCGUCGCUCGAAUCCGGGAGAGGUGAGUGGAAUUCCGAGUGUAGAGGUGAAAUUCGUAGAUAUUCGGAAGAACACCAGUGGCGAAGGCGGCUCACUGGACCGGCAUUGACGCUGAGGUGCGAAAGCGUGGGGAGCAAACAGG
Molecule: ribosomal RNA, 253 nt
Filed under: uncultured bacterium
Lineage: Bacteria
Description: partial 16S ribosomal RNA
Rfam family: Bacterial small subunit ribosomal RNA
Source: RNAcentral